AGAGUUUGAUCCUGGCUCAGAACGAACGCUGGCGGCGUGCCUAACACAUGCAAGUCGAGCGAAGUUAGAGUGAAGCAGCGAUGUGGAGCACUAACUGAGCGGCGAACGGGUGAGUAACACGUAGGUAACCUGCCCAUGAGAUCGGGAUAGCCCUUCGAAAGGGGGAUUAAUACCGGAUAAGACAACGAAUUGAGAUAUUUGUUGUAAAAGGGUGGUUGAAAGGCUUCUGCUUAUGGAUGGGCCUGCGUCCUAUCAGCUAGUUGGUGAGGUAAGUGCUCACCAAGGCUAAGACGGGUAGCCGGACUGAGAGGUUGGUCGGUCACACUGGAACUGAGACACGGUCCAGACUCCUACGGGAGGCAGCAGUGGGGAAUAUUGCGCAAUGGGCGAAAGCCUGACGCAGCGACGCCGCGUGGGGGAAGAAGGUUUUCGGAUUGUAAACCCCUUUCAUGGGGGAAAAAGCUUUUAGGAGUGAUGGUACCCCAGGAAGAAGCCACGGCUAACUCUGUGCCAGCAGCCGCGGUAAUACAGAGGUGGCAAGCGUUGUUCGGAAUUACUGGGCUUAAAGGGCGUGUAGGCGUUUUUGUAAGUCAUGUGUGAAGCCCCUGGCUCAACCAGGGAAAGACACGUGAAACUGCGGAGAUAGAGUGUAGUUAAGGAGGGCGGAAUUCCUGGUGUAGCGGUGAAAUGCGUAGAUAUCAGGAGGAAGGCCAGUGACGAAGGUGGCCCUCUGGGCUAUAACUGACGCUGAGGCGCGAAAGCGUGGGGAGCAAACAGGAUUAGAUACCCUGGUAGUCCACGCUGUAAACGGUGGGCAUUAGGUGUAGGUGUCGGUGGGCAUCUGUGCCGUAGGGAAACCGUUAAAUGCCCCGCCUGGGGAGUACGGCCGCAAGGUUAAAACUCAAAGGAAUUGACGGGGGCCCGCACAAGCGGUGGAGCAUGUGGUUUAAUUCGACGCAACGCGAAGAACCUUACCUGGGCUUGACAUGUAAGUGUUAGUGAACUGAAAGGUGAGCGACCUGGGUUAAUCCUGGGAGCUUACGCAGGUGCUGCAUGGCUGUCGUCAGCUCGUGCCGUGAGGUGUUGGGUUAAGUCCCGCAACGAGCGCAACCCUCAUCCUCUGUUGGCUGCGAGGUCUCUCUGAGGAAACUGCCGGCGAAGAGCUGGAGGAAGGUGGGGACGACGUCAAGUCAUCAUGGCCUUUAUGUCCAGGGCUACACACGUGCUACAAUGGCAGGUUCAAAGGGUAGCGAAGCCGUGAGGUGAAGCCAAUCUCAUAAAGCCUGUCUCAGUUGGGAUCGGAGUCUGCAACUCGACUCCGUGAACGAGGAAUCGCUAGUAACUGCAGAUCAGCAUGCUGCGGUGAAUACGUUCCCGGGCCUUGUACACACCGCCCGUCACACCACGAAAGUCUGUUGUACCCGAAGUAGGUGAGCCAACUGAGCAAUCAGAGGCAGCUUCCUAAGGUAUGGCAGGUAAUUGGGGUGAAGUCGUAACAAGGUA
RNAcentral lists this ribosomal RNA (1503 nucleotides) under metagenome. RNAcentral describes it as "bacterial SSU rRNA". It matches the Rfam family "Bacterial small subunit ribosomal RNA". The record is from RNAcentral.